This 430-nucleotide ribosomal RNA is filed under the name Acidobacteriota bacterium. Its description in RNAcentral is "Acidobacteria bacterium partial 16S ribosomal RNA". It matches the Rfam family "Bacterial small subunit ribosomal RNA", at positions 355 to 776 of the family's 1533-position model. Lineage: Bacteria; Pseudomonadati; Acidobacteriota. The record is from RNAcentral.
UGGGGAAUAUUGGACAAUGGGCGCAAGCCUGAUCCAGCCAUGCCGCGUGUGUGAAGAAGGCCUUUUGGUUGUAAAGCACUUUAAGCGAGGAGGAGGCUACUUGGAUUAAUACUCUAGGAUAGUGGACGUUACUCGCAGAAUAAGCACCGGCUAACGCUGUGCCAGCAGCCGCGGUAAUACAGAGGGUGCGAGCGUUAAUCGGAUUUACUGGGCGUAAAGCGUGCGUAGGCGGCUUCUUAAGUCGGAUGUGAAAUCCCUGGGCUUAACUUAGGAAUUGCAUUAGAUACUGGGAAGCUAGAGUAUGGGAGAGGAUGGUAGAAUUCCAGGUGUAGCGGUGAAAUGCGUAGAGAUCUGGAGGAAUACCGAUGGCGAAGGCAGCCAUCUGGCCUAAUACUGACGCUGAGGUACGAAAGCAUGGGGAGCAAACAGG